This 328-nucleotide ribosomal RNA is filed under the name uncultured eukaryote. RNAcentral describes it as "partial 18S ribosomal RNA". It matches the Rfam family "Eukaryotic small subunit ribosomal RNA", at positions 1470 to 1796 of the family's 1831-position model. The record is from RNAcentral.
CCCUUAGAUGUUCUGGGCCGCACGCGCGCUACACUGAUACGUUCAGCGAGUAUAUAACCUUGAUUGGAAAAUCUGGGUAAUCUUUUGAAUGCGUAUCGUGCUAGGGAUAGAUUAUUGCAAUUAUUAAUCUUGAACGAGGAAUUCCUAGUAAACGCAAGUCAUCAGCUUGCAUUGAUUACGUCCCUGCCCUUUGUACACACCGCCCGUCGCACAAACCGAUUGAAUGAUUCGGUGAAAAUUUUGGACAUCGAGAGUGGUGAUUAAUUUCGCUGCUCUUAAAUGGAAAGAAUUUAAACCUAAUUAUUUAGAGGAUUGUGAAGUCAUAACA